Molecule: ribosomal RNA, 253 nt
Filed under: uncultured bacterium
Lineage: Bacteria
Description: partial 16S ribosomal RNA
Rfam family: Bacterial small subunit ribosomal RNA
Source: RNAcentral
UACGUAGGGUGCAAGCGUUGUCCGGAAUUAUUGGGCGUAAAGAGCUCGUAGGCGGUUCGUCGCGUCGGCUGUGAAAACCCGGAGCUCAACUCCGGGCCUGCAGUCGAUACGGGCGGACUUGAGUGUUGUAGGGGAGACUGGAAUUCCUGGUGUAGCGGUGAAAUGCGCAGAUAUCAGGAGGAACACCGAUGGCGAAGGCAGGUCUCUGGGCAUUAACUGACGCUGAGGAGCGAAAGCAUGGGGAGCGAACAGG